AACGCGAAGAACCUUACCUGGUCUUGACAUCCACGGAAGUUUUCAGAGAUGAGAAUGUGCCUUCGGGAACCGUGAGACAGGUGGUGCAUGGCUGUCGUCAGCUCGUGUUGUGAAAUGUUGGGUUAAGUCCCGCAACGAGCGCAACCCUUAUCCUUUGUUGCCAGCGGUCCGGCCGGGAACUCAAAGGAGACUGCCAGUGAUAAACUGGAGGAAGGUGGGGAUGACGUCAAGUCAUCAUGGCCCUUACGACCAGGGCUACACACGUGCUACAAUGGCGCAUACAAAGAGAAGCGACCUCGCGAGAGCAAGCGGACCCAUAAAGUGCGUCGUAGUCCGGAUUGGAGUCUGCAACUCGACUCCAUGAAGUCGGAAUCGCUAGUAAGCGUGAUCAGAAUGCCA
This 399-nucleotide ribosomal RNA is filed under the name uncultured bacterium. RNAcentral's name for it is "bacterial SSU rRNA". It matches the Rfam family "Bacterial small subunit ribosomal RNA", at positions 958 to 1359 of the family's 1533-position model. The record is from RNAcentral.